This 434-nucleotide ribosomal RNA is filed under the name uncultured Clostridium sp. RNAcentral's name for it is "partial 16S ribosomal RNA". It matches the Rfam family "Bacterial small subunit ribosomal RNA", at positions 341 to 792 of the family's 1533-position model. Lineage: Bacteria; Bacillati; Bacillota; Clostridia; Eubacteriales; Clostridiaceae. The record is from RNAcentral.
ACGGGAGGCAGCAGUGGGGAAUAUUGGACAAUGGGGGAAACCCUGAUCCAGCGACGCCGCGUGAGUGAAGAAGUAUUUCGGUAUGUAAAGCUCUAUCAGCAGGGAAGAUGAUGACGGUACCUGACUAAGAAGCCCCGGCUAACUACGUGCCAGCAGCCGCGGUAAUACGUAGGGGGCAAGCGUUAUCCGGAUUUACUGGGUGUAAAGGGAGCGUAGACGGUAAUGCAAGUCUGAAGUGAAAGCUCGGGGCUCAACUCCGGAAUUGCUUUGGAAACUGUGUUACUAGAGUGCAGGAGAGGCAAGUGGAAUUCCUAGUGUAGCGGUGAAAUGCGUAGAUAUUAGGAGGAACACCAGUGGCGAAGGCGGCUUGCUGGACUGUAACUGACGUUGAGGCUCGAAAGCGUGGGGAGCAAACAGGAUUAGAUACCCUGGUA